Long non-coding RNA from Siniperca chuatsi (mandarin fish), 1339 nucleotides. RefSeq lists it as uncharacterized. NCBI's taxonomy places the organism in Eukaryota, Metazoa, Chordata, Actinopteri, Centrarchiformes, Sinipercidae. The transcript is spliced from 3 exons. The record is from RefSeq and is a predicted model, not a curated record.
UCGAAGAAGUUACAGUCGUCGUCGCUGCUGCAGUUCUGGUCCAGGAUGUCCCUCAUCUUCGGCUCAAAGAACGCCAUGUCCACGUCGAUCGCGACUACCUGCAGGAGACACCAGAGACAAAACUCAACUGUGUUUAGUGGCUGCUGCUGAAGUGAAGUGAAGUGAGUUUGGUUUACUGGAACUUUAAGCCGAUCUGCUGGCAGCGCUGCUCCGCCCAAACGCUCGUGAUGCAUUUAAACUCAGCUUUGAUUUGUGACUGCAGGAAGACACAGAAGGAAGGACGUCCAGUCUUCUUUGGCUUUAUUUUUAGAGCUAAAAUAAGCAAACUUCCACUUUUCAUUUUAAUAUUACAGAUGAAUAAUAAAGGAUGAAUAUAUCAGUUUGAGAAGUUUGAUUACAAAGCGAUUAAAAGUGACUAUGAGAUGAUGAUGACCUCAAAGAAAACUUAGCUUUAUUUUCGCUGUAACUGUAUUUUUUCCCAUGAGAUCAUUCUUUAUAAAGAACACUGCAUUGGAGUCUGCUUUCAAAAGAUGGACGUUGGCGAUGCUGGACGUCAAGUUUCCUCCAAGAACAGCAAACAUGGAGAAAACUCUGCAAGUAGCUCUCUCAAAAAUAACAAAGUAUCUUGUUUAAGAUGAACAAUAACUAAUAAUAAUCAGAGACUUUACUCAAACCAGAGGGCAGUGAGGGUCAGUGCCAGAACAUAUUGUACAUAUCCAUCUUUUUAUAGAAAUGACACAUUUACAGAGUUAUGUUGGAAAUGUUUCCAAAAUGAAAUUUUCUAUUUUUAUAGUUUCAGUUUUCAGGAAACACUCUGAACAUCAGAAAGUAUCAGGCCUUUAUCAAGGAAACUGAAUGUGCUCUUUAAGUAGGGUUAGUGCAUUAAUAAUGCAGAGAUUUAUGACCUUUUUGAACUUAACGGAGGAUUUUACAGUACUUAGAUUAUUUCAAAAGAUUUGUGAGUUUGUGUGUGUGUGUGUGUCGUCCCUCUGGUCUUGUGUUUCAGUGUGGACGAGGAAACAGAGCUUUUCUAAGAUGAUGUCAUCAGCCUGCUCAGACACGCUAUGAAUGACCUUCUCUUCUCCAGCAGCAGGGUCACAUCUUCUGCUUUAGACUGAAAUAAACCUCAUAAUCCACCAUCCGCUCUCUAAAUUUCCAUCUCUACUCUCUCUAAUAGCUUUUUUUUUUAAAAAACAUCCCUUUUAUCUCUUUUCUUCCGGCUUUCUGCUUUGCUUUUAUUCUGUUUAUGUUCAUUACAUUCCCAGAAAACAUUAAGGCCAUUCAGACUUGCUUGGUGGUCACCAAACUGCCUUCAAAGUGAAUCAAAACGUAGAGGAAA